AAUCAACGCUGGCGGCGUGCCUCAGACAUGCAAGUCGAACGAUUAAAGCUCUCUUCGGAGAGUGUAUAGAGUGGCGCACGGGUGAGUAACACGUAAGUAAUCUACCCUCGAGUGGGGAAUAACAACCGGAAACGGUUGCUAAUACCGCAUAAUGCAGCGGCACCGCAAGGUGACAGUUGUUAAAGAUUUAUCGCUUGAGGAGGAGCUUGCGGCAGAUUAGCUAGUUGGUAGGGUAACGGCUUACCAAGGCUACGAUCUGUAACCGGUCUAAGAGGACGGUCGGUCACACUGACACUGAAUAACGGGUCAGACUCCUACGGGAGGCAGCAGUCGGGAAUUUUGGGCAAUGGGCGAAAGCCUGACCCAGCAACGCCGCGUGAAGGAUGAAGUAUUUCGGUAUGUAAACUUCAAAAGAAUAGGAAGAAUUAAUGACGGUACUAUUAUAAGGUCCGGCUAACUACGUGCCAGCAGCCGCGGUAAU
This 481-nucleotide ribosomal RNA is filed under the name uncultured bacterium. RNAcentral's name for it is "bacterial SSU rRNA". It matches the Rfam family "Bacterial small subunit ribosomal RNA", at positions 32 to 524 of the family's 1533-position model. The record is from RNAcentral.